RNAcentral lists this transfer RNA (70 nucleotides) under Neoperla ignacsiveci. RNAcentral describes it as "tRNA-Asp". Lineage: Eukaryota; Metazoa; Arthropoda; Insecta; Plecoptera; Perlidae. The record is from RNAcentral.
GAAAAGUUAGUUAAAUCAUAACUUUAGUAUGUCAUGCUAAAAUCAUUAGUCAUUAAUCUAAUACUUUUUA